GGGGGGAUACUCAAGCGGCCAACGAGGGCAGACUGUAAAUCUGCUGAUGUACAUCUUCGCAGGUUCGAAUCCUGCUCCCCCCA
RNAcentral lists this transfer RNA (83 nucleotides) under Crocinitomicaceae bacterium. Its description in RNAcentral is "tRNA-Tyr". It matches the Rfam family "tRNA". From Rfam's summary of the family: Transfer RNA (tRNA) molecules are approximately 80 nucleotides in length. Their secondary structure includes four short double-helical elements and three loops (D, anti-codon, and T loops). The record is from RNAcentral. RNAcentral also lists the same sequence under 1 other name. Lineage: Bacteria; Pseudomonadati; Bacteroidota; Flavobacteriia; Flavobacteriales; Crocinitomicaceae.